Molecule: long non-coding RNA, 1215 nt
Organism: Ictalurus punctatus (channel catfish)
Lineage: Eukaryota; Metazoa; Chordata; Actinopteri; Siluriformes; Ictaluridae
Source: Ensembl
AAACAGAACAUGAAAUCUAUAGAAAAGUGGCCAUGGAGUUGAACGUUUUCCAACUAAAUCCUCAAGGACCCCUAGACGGACAUGUUGCUUGAUCUGAGCUCUCAGCACACUUGUACCACUUAUUCAGCAUUCUUGAUUACUUGGUAGAGGUGUGAUUAGGUCUGGGAUAAAGCAUAAAUGCAGGAAUACUUGGGUUGAGAAACAUUAUAGUCUAUUCAUAUUAAUUUUUUUCUUUUUUUCUUUUUUGUGGUUCAUUCAUUUAUGUUUAUUUAUUUAUUUUUUAUUAAUUUGAUAAGUUCAAAGGAGACAUAUGUCCCUUUCACUCAUUCUCUACCUCAUAACGUUGUUGACCGACAGACUCCUCUUCCCAGUUUUGCUGACGACAAAUGUUUUUCCUGUUGCUGCGUCGCCCCUCGGCUGAAGUCCUGGAAGGCCACUAGCUGCGCCUUGUCACGUUUGAGCUAUCUUUACCCUGUGAUUUACUUUUAGAAAUGAUAAUCAUGGUGGAAAUAUUUGAAGACAGCUGUGAGACUGCACUAUAUGCUUGACCGAGCCAUGUCAAACCUCUUUCCAAAUGGAGCUGUUUUGCAUCAUUGUGGAUAUUGUUUACAAUUGGCUGGACGCUCAGUGAAGGCAAAUAGCUUCUCUGACCCUCAUCAUGAUCUGGAACAGAUACAAAUCAACCGGACUAAAUUUGCUUAACCAAAAGCGUGCAGUAUCAACAAGCACGGCCAUGCACUCCGGCGGUAGCAAGAAUGAAUGAACAGAAAUGCAUCACUGCCUAAUCUAAUCAGCCACUCCACAACCGUCUCUAAUAGCCUAAUGUCCAUUUUUAUGAGUUGUACUUAAAAAUAUGAACAAUAUGGAAAUAAACAAUUCAUUUUUAUUUCUGUCAAUUCCUUUACGGCCAUUUCUCUGCAUCUCUGGUGAAGUUGUUGGACUGUCUGUCUGAGUCCUGUGGUGGUGUGCUCUGAACCUUGUUGACAUUUUACCAAAUAUUGUCUGUAGUUUUAUACAGUUCCUGUUCAACAUUGUGAUGUAUGUGCUGUGCACAUGACAAUACCCUAACUUAAGUGGAAGUUAAUAAAGCUCAGAACAACAACAACAAAAAAAGAGCUGUGUGCUUUUAAUGCCUCCCUUUAGAAGGAAAAGCAGGGCUGAUCAGAAGCAGGGUUUAACCCGUUCCCACAAACCACAUCCACAGCUGGCAUACUG